GAUGAACGCUGGCGGCGUGCUUAACACAUGCAAGUCGAACGGAAAGGCUCCUGCUUGCAGGGGUACUCGAGUGGCGAACGGGUGAGUAACACGUGGGUGAUCUGCCCUGCACUUCGGGAUAAGCCUGGGAAACUGGGUCUAAUACCGGAUAGGACCACAUUUUGGAUGGUGUGGUGGAAAGUUUUUCGGUGUGGGAUGAGCUCGCGGCCUAUCAGCUUGUUGGUGGGGUAAUGGCCUACCAAGGCGUCGACGGGUAGCCGGCCUGAGAGGGUGACCGGCCAUGUGGGGACUGAAAGACGGCCCAUCCCCAUACGGGGGGCAGCAGGGGGGAAUAUUGCACAAUGGGCGCAACCCGGAUGCAGCGACGCCGGGGGGGGAAGAGCGGCCUUCGGUUUUUAAACUCCUUUCGCUAGGGAAGAAGGUAAAGUCAGGGUCCGUGGAAGAGAAACCCGGGCAAACUCGGUG
RNAcentral lists this ribosomal RNA (465 nucleotides) under uncultured bacterium. RNAcentral's name for it is "partial 16S ribosomal RNA". It matches the Rfam family "Bacterial small subunit ribosomal RNA", at positions 28 to 507 of the family's 1533-position model. The record is from RNAcentral.